RNAcentral lists this ribosomal RNA (406 nucleotides) under uncultured bacterium. RNAcentral describes it as "partial 16S ribosomal RNA". It matches the Rfam family "Bacterial small subunit ribosomal RNA", at positions 29 to 526 of the family's 1533-position model. The record is from RNAcentral.
AUUGAACGCUGGCGGCAGGCCUAACACAUGCAAGUCGAGCGAGCGGCGGACGGGUGAGUAAUGUCAGGGAAACCGCCUGAUGGAGGGGGAUAAAUACUGGAAACGGUAGCUAAUAACUCAUACCAUCAGAGUUGCCCAGGUGGGAUUAGGUAGUAGGGGGGGUAACGGCUCACCUAGGCGACGAUCCCUAGCUGGUCUGAGAGGAUGACCAGCCACACUGGAACUGAGACACGGUCCAGACUCCUACGGGAGGCAGCAGUGGGGAAUAUUGCACAAGGGGCGCAAGCCUGAUGCAGCCAUGCCGCGUGUAUGAAGAAGGCCUUCGGGUUGUAAAGUACUUUCAGCGGGGAGGCGUUACCCGCAGAAGAAGCACCGGCUAACUCCGUGCCAGCAGCCGCGGUAAUAC